This 491-nucleotide ribosomal RNA is filed under the name uncultured bacterium. RNAcentral's name for it is "partial 16S ribosomal RNA". It matches the Rfam family "Bacterial small subunit ribosomal RNA", at positions 28 to 507 of the family's 1533-position model. The record is from RNAcentral.
GAUGAACGCUGGCUACAGGCUUAACACAUGCAAGUCGAGGGGAAACGACGGGGAAGCUUGCUUCCCCGGGCGUCGACCGGCGCACGGGUGAGUAACGCGUAUCCAACCUGCCUCUGACUGAGGGAUAACCCGUCGAAAGUCGGCCUAAUACCUCAUGGCAUCGUCUGCGGGCAUCCAACGACGAUUAAAGAUUUCAUCGGUCAGAGAUGGGGAUGCGUCUGAUUAGCUUGUUGGCGGGGUAACGGCCCACCAAGGCGACGAUCAGUAGGGGUUCUGAGAGGAAGGUCCCCCACAUGGGAACUGAGACACGGUCCAAACUCCUACGGGAGGCAGCAGUGAGGAAUAUUGGUCAAUGGGCGAGAGCCUGAACCAGCCAAGUAGCGUGCAGGAUGACGGCCCUAUGGGUUGUAAACUGCUUUUAUGCGGGGAUAAAGUGAGGGACGUGUCCUUCAUUGCAGGUACCGCAUGAAUAAGAACCGGCUAAUUCCGUG